AUACCCUUCUACUUAGGAAGCACCAGCUGAAGGCCUAAUAACCUCUGGGAGUCUGUGCUGGAGGCAAGGCCCAGGCCUGGGGCUAAAGUUCUCUACUUUCCAAUCCGGAGAUUCUCAGAGACCCUGUUCCGGGUGCAGAGAUACUGAGACACAGGGGGCCAACGUUCCUGAGCCCACCACUUUAAGAAGAGAGUGUGAACACAGUUUCCCACUGCCAAAGAUUAUGCAGUUGAGUUCUCCACAUUUGGGGAAAUUGCAGGGAUCAGCACAUCCAGAGUGCAAUGAAUAAGCCUCACCCUGGGAAAAUCACCUUUGUGAUGAUGGUAUUUCACCUCCUAGAAAGAAUCUACAAAAUUUAUGAAGAAGUAGGUUGUAAGGAGCUACUUAAGCAAGAAUAUCUUUCUGGCUGGAGAGACAUGGUUCUUCAUGGAGUCUACAGACAGGGAACAUCCUUUUCGAAC
RNAcentral lists this long non-coding RNA (461 nucleotides) under Homo sapiens (human). RNAcentral's name for it is "HSALNT0310815". Lineage: Eukaryota; Metazoa; Chordata; Mammalia; Primates; Hominidae. The record is from RNAcentral.